GACGAACGCUGGCGGCGUGCUUAACACAUGCAAGUCGAACGGAAAGGCCCUGCUUUUGUGGGGUGCUCGAGUGGCGAACGGGUGAGUAACACGUGAGUAACCUGCCCUUGACCUUGGGAUAACUUCAGGAAACUGGGGCUAAUACCGGAUAGGAGCUCCUGCUGCAUGGUGGGGGUUGGAAAGUUUCGGCGGUUGGGGAUGGACUCGCGGCUUAUCAGCUUGUUGGUGGGGUAGUGGCUUACCAAGGCUUUGACGGGUAGCCGGCCUGAGAGGGUGACCGGCCACAUUGGGACUGAGAUACGGCCCAGACUCCUACGGGAGGCAACAGUGGAGAAUAUUGCACAAUGGGCGGAAGCCUGAUGCAGCAACGCCGCGUGCGGGAUGAAGGCCUUCGGGUUGUAAACCGCUUUCGCCUGUGACGAAGCGUGAGUGACGGUAAUGGGUAAAGAAGCACCGGCUAACUACGUG
Molecule: ribosomal RNA, 468 nt
Filed under: uncultured bacterium
Lineage: Bacteria
Description: partial 16S ribosomal RNA
Rfam family: Bacterial small subunit ribosomal RNA
Source: RNAcentral